AUACGGAGGGUGCAAGCGUUGUUCGGAAUUACUGGGCGUAAAGCGCGUGCAGGCGGUAAGGUAAGUCAGAUGUGAAAGCCCCGGGCUCAACCCGGGAAGUGCAUUUGAUACUGCCUUUCUAGAGUAUGGGAGAGGAGAGUGGAAUUCCCAGUGUAGAGGUGAAAUUCGUAGAUAUUGGGAGGAACACCCGUGGCGAAGGCGACUCUCUGGACCAAUACUGACGCUGAGACGCGUAAGCGUGGGGAGCGAACAGGAUUAGAAACCCCGGUAGUCC
Molecule: ribosomal RNA, 274 nt
Filed under: uncultured bacterium
Lineage: Bacteria
Description: partial 16S ribosomal RNA
Rfam family: Bacterial small subunit ribosomal RNA
Source: RNAcentral